RNAcentral lists this ribosomal RNA (460 nucleotides) under uncultured bacterium. RNAcentral describes it as "partial 16S ribosomal RNA". It matches the Rfam family "Bacterial small subunit ribosomal RNA", at positions 338 to 795 of the family's 1533-position model. The record is from RNAcentral.
CCUACGGGAGGCAGCAGUGAGGAAUAUUGGUCAAUGGACGGAAGUCUGAACCAGCCAUGCCGCGUGCAGGAAGACGGCUCUAUGAGUUGUAACCUGCUUUUGUACAAGGGUAAACCUGAAUACGUGUAUUCAGCUGAAAGUACUGUACGAAUAAGGAUCGGCUAACUCCGUGCCAGCAGCCGCGGUAAUACGGAGGAUACAAGCGUUAUCCGGAUUUAUUGGGUGUAAAGGGUGCGUAGGCGGAUUGAUAAGUUAGAGGUGAAAUGGCCGAGCUUAACUCAGGAACUGCCUCUAAUACUGUUUAUCUAGAGAGUAGGUGCGGUAGGCGGAAUGUAUGGUGUAGCGGUGAAAUGCGUAGAGAUCAUACAGAACACCGAUUGCGAAGGCAGCUUACCAAUCUAUAUCUGACGUUGAGGCACGAAAGCGUGGGGAGCAAACAGGAUUAGAUACCCCUGUAGUC